CACGAACGACUCUCGGCAACGGAUAUCUCGGCUCUCGCAUCGAUGAAGAACGUAGCGAAAUGCGAUACUUGGUGUGAAUUGCAGAAUCCCGUGAACCAUCGAGUCUUUGAACGCAAGUUGCGCCCCAAGCCRUUAGGUUGAGGGCACGUCUGCCUGGGUGUCACGCAU
RNAcentral lists this ribosomal RNA (168 nucleotides) under Rhodolaena acutifolia. RNAcentral describes it as "5.8S ribosomal RNA". It matches the Rfam family "5.8S ribosomal RNA". Rfam says of the family: 5.8S ribosomal RNA (5.8S rRNA) is a component of the large subunit of the eukaryotic ribosome. It is transcribed by RNA polymerase I as part of the 45S precursor that also contains 18S and 28S rRNA. Lineage: Eukaryota; Viridiplantae; Streptophyta; Magnoliopsida; Malvales; Sarcolaenaceae. The record is from RNAcentral. RNAcentral also lists the same sequence under 1 other name.